RNAcentral lists this long non-coding RNA (606 nucleotides) under Olea europaea (common olive). RNAcentral describes it as "long non-coding RNA (OEUR_LNC010968)". The record is from RNAcentral. Lineage: Eukaryota; Viridiplantae; Streptophyta; Magnoliopsida; Lamiales; Oleaceae.
CGUCAUUUUUUUUCUUGAACAUUAAUACGUAAAUCUUAAAUACAGAUUAAAAACUAGAGUAGGAAUAUUCUGGCAAGAUUUACAAAACAAAUUACAAUUCCAUAAAAGUCUUAUUGCCAAAUAACUAUUAUACAGGCAUCACAGUUAAAUCAAUUGAGCUCAAAUUGUACGUAGGUUAGCGCAAUGUUCCAGCAAUGGAAGAACUCAAGUAGGAAGUGCCCCCAGGGCACAUCUCCAAGUGGUGAAAGGGGAGGGUGGAGAAAUCCAGCUUUGCUUGAGGCUGUUGCGUCAAGGGUUCGAAUCCUGAAAUAUGGAUUUGGCUCUUGGAUAAGUGCAAGUGUACAAGCAGCCUUCCACCCUGUACCGUUGGAGGCAUAACCUGCGAUUUACCUCCCUCACGAUGCUCCAGGGCAAGGGUGGUGAGAGACCUUUAAGGUUAAACCCAAGAACUCAAGUAGGAAGUUAUCACUACGUGAUAAUUGUAGCCAAGAGUUGUUAGUCUCUUAGAGUAGUUCACUGACGAAGAUAGCUCUAUGGUUGAAUCCAUUCCAAAAUUAUACAUUUAUUGUAGGCAAAAUCUCCUUUCUUUUUUUUCCUUUUUUUUUU